This 1186-nucleotide ribosomal RNA is filed under the name Pantoea sp. RNAcentral describes it as "bacterial SSU rRNA". It matches the Rfam family "Bacterial small subunit ribosomal RNA", at positions 93 to 1301 of the family's 1533-position model. Lineage: Bacteria; Pseudomonadati; Pseudomonadota; Gammaproteobacteria; Enterobacterales; Erwiniaceae. The record is from RNAcentral.
GAGUGGCGGACGGGUGAGUAAUGUCUGGGGAUCUGCCCGAUGGAGGGGGAUAACUACUGGAAACGGUAGCUAAUACCGCAUAACGUCGCAAGACCAAAGUGGGGGACCUUCGGGCCUCACACCAUCGGAUGAACCCAGAUGGGAUUAGCUAGUAGGUGGGGUAACGGCUCACCUAGGCGACGAUCCCUAGCUGGUCUGAGAGGAUGACCAGCCACACUGGAACUGAGACACGGUCCAGACUCCUACGGGAGGCAGCAGUGGGGAAUAUUGCACAAUGGGCGCAAGCCUGAUGCAGCCAUGCCGCGUGUAUGAAGAAGGCCUUCGGGUUGUAAAGUACUUUCAGCGGGGAGGAAGGUGUUGUUAAUAACUUCAGCAAUUGACGUUACCCGCAGAAGAAGCACCGGCUAACUCCGUGCCAGCAGCCGCGGUAAUACGGAGGGUGCAAGCGUUAAUCGGAAUUACUGGGCGUAAAGCGCACGCAGGCGGUCUGUCAAGUCGGAUGUGAAAUCCCCGGGCUUAACCUGGGAACUGCAUUCGAAACUGGCAGGCUAGAGUCUUGUAGAGGGGGGUAGAAUUCCAGGUGUAGCGGUGAAAUGCGUAGAGAUCUGGAGGAAUACCGGUGGCGAAGGCGGCCCCCUGGACAGAGACUGACGCUCAGGUGCGAAAGCGUGGGGAGCAAACAGGAUUAGAUACCCUGGUAGUCCACGCUGUAAACGAUGUCGACUUGGAGGUUGUGCCCUUGAGGCGUGGCUUCCGGAGCUAACGCGUUAAGUCGACCGCCUGGGAGUACGGCCGCAAGGUUAAAACUCAAAUGAAUUGACGGGGGCCCGCACAAGCGGUGGAGCAUGUGGUUUAUUCGAUGCAACGCGAAGAACCUUACCUGGCCUUGACUCCACGGAAUUUGGCAGAGAUGCUUUAGUGCCUUCGGGAACUGAGACAGGUGCUGCUGCUGUCGUCAGCUCGUGUUGGAAAUGUGGGUUAAUCCCGCAACGAGCGCAACCCUUAUCCUUGUGCCGCGAUUCGGUCGGGAACUCAAAGGAGACGCCGGUGAUAAACCGGAGGAAGGUGGGGAUGACGUCAGUCAUCUGGCCCUUACGGCCAGGGCUACCACCUGUACAAGGCGCAUACAAAGAGAAGCGACCUCGCGAGACAAGCGGACCUCAUAAAAUGCGUGUCUCCGGAUGGA